AUACGUAGGUGGCAAGCGUUGUCCGGAUUUAUUGGGCGUAAAGCGCGCGCAGGCGGUCUUUUAAGUCUGAUGUGAAAUCUUACAGCUUAACUGUAAGCGGUCAUUGGAAACUGGGAGACUUGAGUGCAGAAGAGGAGAGUGGAAUUCCAUGUGUAGCGGUGAAAUGCGUAGAGAUAUGGAGGAACACCAGUGGCGAAGGCGACUCUCUGGUCUGCAACUGACGCUGAGGCGCGAAAGCGUAGGGAUCAAACAGGAUUAGAUACCCUGGUAGUCCACGCCGUAAACGAUGAGUGCUAGGUGUUAGGGGUUUCGAUACCCUUAGUGCCGCAGUUAACACAUUAAGCACUCCGCCUGGGGAGUACGGCCGCAAGGCUGAA
Molecule: ribosomal RNA, 377 nt
Filed under: uncultured bacterium
Lineage: Bacteria
Description: bacterial SSU rRNA
Rfam family: Bacterial small subunit ribosomal RNA
Source: RNAcentral